GAGUUUGAUCCUGGCUCAGGAUGAACGCUGGCGGCACGCUUAACACAUGCAAGUCGAGCGGAGGAAAGACAGGAAGGCUUCGGCCGGAAAGUCAUUCUUCAGCGGCGGACGGGUGAGGAACGCGUGGGUAACCUGCCCUGUACAGGGGGAUAACACAGAGAAAUCUGUGCUAAAACCGCAUAAGCCUACAGGAUCGCAUGAUCCAGAAGGAAAAACUCCGGUGGUACAGGAUGGGCCCGCGUCUGAUUAGCUAGUUGGAGAGGUAACGGCUCACCAAGGCGACGAUCAGUAGCCGGUCUGAGAGGAUGGACGGCCACAUUGGGACUGAGACACGGCCCAAACUCCUACGGGAGGCAGCAGUGGGGAAUAUUGCACAAUGGGGGAAACCCUGAUGCAGCGAUGCCGCGUGAAGGAAGAAGAUUUUCGGAUUGUAAACUUCUAUCAGCAAGGAAGAAAACGGACAGUACUUGAGUAAGAAGCCCCGGCUAACUACGUGCCAGCCGCCGCGGUAAUUC
This 515-nucleotide ribosomal RNA is filed under the name uncultured bacterium. RNAcentral's name for it is "bacterial SSU rRNA". It matches the Rfam family "Bacterial small subunit ribosomal RNA", at positions 9 to 526 of the family's 1533-position model. The record is from RNAcentral.